AACGCGAAGAACCUUACCCAGGCUUGACAUACAGAGGACGGACGUAGAAAUACGUAAUCCCUUCGGGGCCUCUGAACAGGUGCUGCAUGGCUGUCGUCAGCUCGUGCCGUGAGGUGUUGGGUUAAGUCCCGCAACGAGCGCAACCCUUAUCGUUAGUUGCCAACAUUUAUGGUGGGAACUCUAGCGAGACUGCCCGGGUUAACCGGGAGGAAGGUGAGGAUGACGUCAAGUCCGCAUGGCCCUUAUGUCUGGGGCUACACACGUGCUACAAUGGUCGGUACAGAAGGCAGCGAAACCGCGAGGUGAAGCAAAUCCCGAAAGCCGGCCCCAGUUCAGAUUGUAGUCUGCAACUCGACUACAUGAAGCCGGAAUUGCUAGUAAUGGCGAGUCAGCACAUCGCCGUGAAUACGUUCCCGGGCCUUGACACACCGCUACAGU
Molecule: ribosomal RNA, 438 nt
Filed under: uncultured bacterium
Lineage: Bacteria
Description: bacterial SSU rRNA
Rfam family: Bacterial small subunit ribosomal RNA
Source: RNAcentral